This 307-nucleotide ribosomal RNA is filed under the name Amoebophrya sp. RNAcentral describes it as "SSU rRNA". It matches the Rfam family "Eukaryotic small subunit ribosomal RNA", at positions 595 to 906 of the family's 1831-position model. The record is from RNAcentral. Lineage: Eukaryota; Dinophyceae; Syndiniales; Amoebophryaceae.
UAGCGUAUAUUAAAGUUGUUGCGGUUAAAAAGCUCGUAGUUGGAUUUCUGUUGAGGACUGUCGGUCCGUACUAUGUGCGUGUAUCUGAUUUGGCCUCGGCAUCCUCUCGAAAUACGUCACUGCGCUUGAUUGCGUGGUGCGGAGUUCGAGACUUUUACUUUGAGGAAAUUAGAGUGUUCACGGCAGGCAAUCGCCUUGAAUAUAUUAGCAUGGAAUAAUAAUAUAGGGUCUUGGUUCUAUUUUGUUGGUUUCUAGGACUAAGAUAAUGAUUAAUAGGGACAACUGGGGGCAUUCGUAUUAACGCGUC